CCGUAGAUAUUAAAAUGGAUCAUUACAAUGUUGGAGGCAACUUAUAAAAAAUGAGAAGGGCUGAACAAAAACGGCACCGAAAAGGAGAUCAUGUACUGCAGAUUACAAGCUGGACGUAGUGAAAUAUGCAGCAGAAAAGGACAAGAGGAAGCGGCGCAUACCUUUGGAGUUGGCAGCGUUGUUUAGAAGCGACAUCGAGGAAGAAGAUUUCAUGGGAUUUAUCGAUUAGGAGUGACGGAUUGUUUGGUAAACAUAUAGCAUGUUUUAUAUGUUAUAGUUAUUUGAAUGACUCUUACCAUAAUAUGUUAGUUAACAUAGCAGGCACCUUCUCAGUUGUUAUUUAUGCCUCAUAUAACGUACACUUAUUCAGCCUGUUGUUUACUAUUCUUUAUUUAUUUUAAAUUGCCUUUCAAAUGUCUAUUCUUGGUGUUGGAUUUUAUCAAAUAAAUUUCCCCCAAAAAUGUGACUUAUACUCCAGUGCGACGCAUAUGUUUUUUUCCUUCUUUGUUAUGCAUUUUCGGCAGGUGCGACUUGUAAUCCGAAAAAUACGGUACAAGUUUCAGUUGUGUUAAUAUUACAAAUAUGUUAUUUUCGGUUAAAGUAGCAAUGAUUGUCACACACACACACACACACACACACACACACACACACACACACACACACACACACACACACACACACACUAGGUGUGGUGAGAUUAUCCUCUUGCAUUUGACUCAUCACCCUUGAUCCCCUCCUGGGAGGUGAGGGGAGCAGUGAGCAGCAGCGCCCGGGUAUCAUUUUUGGUGAUUUAACCCCCAAUUCCAAUUUUUAUAGUCUUCGGUAUGACUCCAACAAAUUUAUUCCUGUGAAAGUUGUUAUUUCCCACAACAUUGAACUUCUCAUGUCAAAGAGGUCUCCUUGUGAUGUAUUAGUGUAAGAUAAUGACCAUUUUGUUUAGCUAUUAGUACAAAAUGAUUAAAACUAGGGCUGGACUUUCAAUCACAUUUUAAAUGACAUCUCAAUUAUGGCUUCUCACGAUCAUGAAAAUAUAAUAAUCUAAGGAAAAAAAACGACAAAUGCUUGUGACGGUAACACAGAUGAGUGAGCGUGUUUUAGGCGAUACGGCCUUUUAUUAAUAUCUCGAUAUUUUCAGGCCAUGUCACGAUACAUGAUUCAUAUCUCCAUAUUUUGCCUUAGCCUUGAAUGAAUACUUGAUGCAUAUAAUCACAGCAAUAUGAUGAUUCUAUGUGUCUACAUUAAAACAUUCUUCUUCAUACUGCAUUAAUACAUGCUUAUUUUAAACUUUCAUUCAGAGGGAAAUCACAACUAAAAGUGUAUUUAUUAAACAGUUAAGCAGUGGCAGAAACAUUCAUGUAAUUUCCAAAACAGAAAGUGCAAGAUUGUCAGAGACAUUUUAAAACGAGCUAUUAGUGCACUUUUGUGCAUGAUGUCACUAAGAUGACAUAUCAAAAAAAGCACGAAAUUAAAGUAAAAUUUUUGUACAGAACGCCACUACAAUAGUUUAAAACAAAUAAAGUGCACUUUUGUGCAUGAUGUCACUAAGAUGACAUAUCAAAAAAGCACAAAAUUAAAGUACAAUUUUUGUCCCGAACGCCACUACAAUAGUUUAAAACAAAUAAAGUGCACUUUUGUGCAUGAUGUCACUAAGAUGACAUAUCAAAAAAGCACGAAAUUAAAGUACAAUUUUUGUACAGAACGCCACUACAAUAGUUAAAAACAAAUGAAGUGCACUUUUGUGCAUGAUGUCACUAAGAUGACAUAUCAAAAAAAGCACGAAAUUAAAGUACAAUUUUUGUACAGAACGCCAUUACAAUAGUUUAAAACAAAUAAAGUGCACUUUUGUGCAUGAUGUCACUAAGAUGACAUAUCAAAAAAGCACGAAAUUAAAGUACAAUUUUUGUACAGAACGCCACUACAAUAGUUAAAAACAAAUGAAGUGCACUUUUGUGCAUGAUGUCACUAAGAUGACAUAUCAAAAAAGCACGAAAUUAAAGUACAAUUUUUGUCCAGAACGCCACUACAAUAGUUAAAAACAAAUGAAGUGCACUUUUGUGCAUGAUGUCACUAAGAUGACAUAUCAAAAAAAGCACGAAAUUAAAGUACAAUUUUUGUCCAGAACGCCACUACAAUAGUUUAAAACAAAAAAAGUGCACUUUUGUGCAUGAUGUCACACAAGAUAUUUCAGUAAGUGUCAAAUAAAAAUGAGCUGCAUAAUAGGAAAUCAAAUAGUGUUUGUCCUUCACUAUGUGGUUGACUAUUUUUUCAUACGGUGUUGAUCUGGAAAUAGUUGCUUCGGCAUUUUGUUGGUGUGGCGCCGAACGGAGAGGUUGACAUGCGGAGUUUCAAGCACUUCUUAUUCUGUAGCAGGUGACUUUUAAAUUUUUCUACCUUAGCGGUGCUGAUACUUUUUGUAGCAACGCUUUUGCCGCAUAAUUGCUCAACAUCUUCCCGCUUGAAGCCGAACCACCGCCAGACAAUGCUGUUUUUCUUGGGAAUUCUUCUUUCAUUUGUUACCAGAUUCGCACCUUUUCUCUCCCGCACCGACAUGGCCAUGUUAGCAUCACAGCUAACAUGGCCAUGUCGCUACCUGUCUGCACGCGUGACGUUUGUAAGAAGGUGCGCUUGUUUUAAGUCUCUGUGAGAAGGAGAGAGAAGAAAGAGUGUAAUGCCCAGAGCUAAAAGCAACUGCGUGAGAACGUAUACUCCAAUAUCACGAUAUAGUCAUUUUCUGUAUCGCACAGAGACAAACCCGAGAUAUAUGGAGUACAUCGAUAUAUCGCUCAGCCCUGGCGUGUUUGCUACUUUUUAUUUGACACAUGGCUCGUCGGCCUAAUCAAUAACCACCGAACUCAACAAAAAAAGCAAGACGUGAUUUCACGUAACCUGAGACGGAAUCCGCUGUUAAAACGCAGAAUGUUAGAGGAAUUGACAUAAAUGUUGUCUUGGCGAGGAGAAGGAAUGUUUAUUUAGGAAGAUAACGUGUCCCGGAAUUCUCAUUUAGCCCCAAAACACGUUUUUAAAUGUGAACAUUAUCGCAAUUUCAGAAGGGUUAAAACCAAUAAAAAUCAGUUCCCAGUGGCUUAUUUUAUUUUUCAAAAUUUUUUUCAAAAUUUUACCCGUCCCGGAAUUUCCCUAAAAAAAGCUUUAAAGUGCUUGAUUUUCGCUAUUUGCUUAAGCCACUGUCCAUUUCCCUGUGACGUCACAUAGCGAUUCCAAUACAAACAAUGGCGAAUACCACAGCAAGAUAUAGCGACAUUAGCUUGGAUUCAAACUCGGAUUUCAGCGGCUUAAGCGAUUCAACAGAUUACGCAUGUAUUGAAACAGAUGGUCGGAGUAUGGAGGCAGAUAGCGAAAACGAAAUUGAAGAAGAAACUGAAGCUAUUGAGCGAAUAGCUAUAGACGCUGUUCGGCCAUCUUUGCGUUAGCAUCGCCGGUAAAAUGUGCAAACCAACCGAUCAGGACUUUCGCAUUGACACUGGAUCAACUUAAAUCCGUCGAUUGGUAAGUGUUUGUUUCGCAUUAAAUGUGGGUGGAAGGAAACGCUGGAUGUAAAUAAAGUUUCAAAUGUACAUACAGGUAGCCUAAAUAGCAUGUUAGCAUCGAUUAGCUGGCAGUCAUGCCGCGACCAAAUAUAUCUGAUUAGCACAUAAGUCAAUAACAACAACAACAUUCACUUUUGUGAUUUCGUUGACUUUAUCGUUGGGAAUGCAUCUGCUUUGAGUGUCCAUGAAUUGAUUAACUACCAUGAAUUGAUUAACGUGGACCCCGACUUAAACAAGUUGAAAAACUUAUUUGGGUGUUACCAUUUAGUGGUCAAUUGUACGGAAUAUGUACUGUACUGUGCAAUCUACUAAUAAAAGUAUCAAUCAAUCAAUCAAAGGAUAUCCAGACAUUCUUGCCAUCUCUGUGCCAUGUCUGUCGUAGCAUCGCCGGUAAAAACCAAACGAAGCACUUUCGCAUCUCUUGACACUGGGGUAACUUAAAUCUGUUGAUUGGUAAGUGUUUGUUUGACAUUAAAUGUGGAUGGAGGGAAAGGCUAGAUGUAAAUAUAGCUACAAACGAGGCAUAAUGCUGCAAUAUGUACACACAGCUAGCCUUAAUAGCAUGUUAGCAUCGAUUAGCAUGCCGUGCUAAUCGAUGCACAUUCCACAUAAAUCAACUUGAAUCCGUCCAUGAUCAUGUUGUUACACCCUCCGACAAGGCAUGAUGUCUCCAAGGUAUCGGAAAACAGUGGAAAAAACGGAAAAUAACAGAGCUGAUUUGACUCGAUGUGUAGGGAAAAAUGGCGUUGAGUACCGAUGUGACGUCACGUUCUGACGUCGUCGCUCAGAGAGAGAUAAACAGAAAGGCGUUUAACUCGCCAAAAUUCACCCAUUUAGAGUUCAGAUAUCGGUUAAAAAUAUAUAUGGUCUUUUUUUCUGCACCAUCAAGGUAUAUAUUGAUGCUUACAUAGGUCUGCUGAUAAUGUUCCCAUUUAAAAAAGGAUGUCAAACUGAGCUUGGUAGAAUAAAUACUUUAUUCAAUAAUCGUGUAAUUAAUCGUGAUUAUAAUACUAAUCAAAAUAAUCAUGACUAUUGUUUUUCCAUAAUUGUCCAGCCCUGCUUUAAACCUUUUUUUCUUUGUUGUAUACAAGCUUUACAUGACAAAUGUAAUAUAGUAAAAUUACAGCUUUCUUGUAAUAUAAUCACUUUACUUUUUAAACUGUUUUGUAUUACAUAUUAAUUUCUGUAAAAUCAAAACAUUUUUAUAUGUAUUUUUUUUUGUAAAAUGUAUUUCUAUAAAAUCAAAACAUUUCCGUUUGUAAAUUUUAUUUUUGGCAAAACAAAUCAAAACCUUUUUUAAAUCACA
Long non-coding RNA from Nerophis ophidion (straightnose pipefish), 4851 nucleotides. RefSeq lists it as uncharacterized. The record is from RefSeq and is a predicted model, not a curated record. The transcript has 2 exons. Lineage: Eukaryota; Metazoa; Chordata; Actinopteri; Syngnathiformes; Syngnathidae.